AUGCAAGUCGGACGGUAGCACAGAGAGCUUGCUCUUGGGUGACGAGUGGCGGACGGGUGAGUAAUGUCUGGGGAUCUGCCCGAUAGAGGGGGAUAACCACUGGAAACGGUGGCUAAUACCGCAUAACGUCGCAAGACCAAAGAGGGGGACCUUCGGGCCUCUCACUAUCGGAUGAACCCAGAUGGGAUUAUCUAGUAGGCGGGGUAAUGGCCCACCUAGGCGACGAUCCCUAUCUGGUCUGAGAGGAUGACCAGCCACACUGGAACUGAGACACGGUCCAGACUCCUACGGGAGGCAGCAGUGGGGAAUAUUGCACAAUGGGCGCAAGCCUGAUGCAGCCAUGCCGCGUGUAUGAAGAAGGCCUUCGGGUUGUAAAGUACUUUCAGCGGGGAGGAAGGCGGUGAGGUUAAUAACCUUACCGAUUGACGUUACCCGCAGAAGAAGCACCGGCUAACUCCGUGCCAGCAGCCGCGGUAAUACGGAGGGUGCAAGCGUUAAUCGGAAUUACUGGGCGUAAAGCGCACGCAGGCGGUCUGUUAAGUCAGAUGUGAAAUCUCCGGGCUUAUCCUGGGAACUGCAUUUGAAACUGUCAGGCUUGAGUCUUGUAGAGGGGGGGAGAAUUCCAGGUGUAGCGGUGAAAUGCGUAGAGAUCUGGAGGAAUACCGGUGGCGAAGGCGGUCCCCUGUACAAAGACUGACGCUCUGUGCGAAAGCGUGUGGAGCAAAACAGGAUUAGAUACCCUGGUAGUCCACGUCGUAAACGAUGUCGACUUG
Molecule: ribosomal RNA, 773 nt
Filed under: Pantoea sp.
Lineage: Bacteria; Pseudomonadati; Pseudomonadota; Gammaproteobacteria; Enterobacterales; Erwiniaceae
Description: bacterial SSU rRNA
Rfam family: Bacterial small subunit ribosomal RNA
Source: RNAcentral